UUGACAGCCCCACAGACUGAACUCCUCUGUUCAUCCACAGAGCAGGUAUAGCAUAGGCAAGAUUUACCUACCCACCCUCAACCCUGAUCUGGAGGUACCACCAGAAGGAGUGGCACGGUCAUUCAACUGCUGAUGCCCUUUCACUCCUCGGAGUCU
This 156-nucleotide small RNA is filed under the name Dipodomys ordii (Ord's kangaroo rat). RNAcentral's name for it is "TUC338 (ENSDORG00000024642.1)". The record is from RNAcentral. Lineage: Eukaryota; Metazoa; Chordata; Mammalia; Rodentia; Heteromyidae.